GGAGGGACUGUGGCUCAGUGGUAGAGUAUCUGGUUGGCAUGCAAAAAGUCCCAGGUGCAGUCCCUGGAAUCUCCA
This 75-nucleotide transfer RNA is filed under the name Sphaerodactylus townsendi. RNAcentral's name for it is "tRNA-Ala". The stretch from base 4 to 65 matches the Rfam family "tRNA". Rfam says of the family: Transfer RNA (tRNA) molecules are approximately 80 nucleotides in length. Their secondary structure includes four short double-helical elements and three loops (D, anti-codon, and T loops). Further hydrogen bonds mediate the characteristic L-shaped molecular structure. tRNAs have two regions of fundamental functional importance: the anti-codon, which is responsible for specific mRNA codon recognition, and the 3' end, to which the tRNAs corresponding amino acid is attached (by aminoacyl-tRNA synthetases). tRNAs cope with the degeneracy of the genetic code in two manners: having more than one tRNA (with a specific anti-codon) for a particular amino acid; and 'wobble' base-pairing, i.e. permitting non-standard base-pairing at the 3rd anti-codon position. Lineage: Eukaryota; Metazoa; Chordata; Lepidosauria; Squamata; Sphaerodactylidae. The record is from RNAcentral.